CAAAAUCUAGGGAUAAACAGCCAAAAGCACUCUAAUCACAGCAUAGCAAAUGUCUACAAUUUCUCUCAUCUCUCACAAACUAAGAGGUUAAAUGAAACAAUAUGAACGAAAAUAAGAAAAUGAGUAAUGGCAAGAACAUGAACUGAAAUAAGAAAAUGAAUAGAGGUAAUUAUAAUUUCACAGCUUAGUUGUUCUGGAAAGUUGAUUGCCAUUUCGUCUACAUCAUUGAGAUUUCUUUGAAACCUUGAGCCUCCAACAUGAACAGGGAGAUCCUAGAAGGCGUGAGUGGGACGCCAAAGAGACCCUCUAUUGCCCUUUCCAUCUGGGUUUUAUGAUGAUGUUUGGCUUUCCUUGCUCUAUUUGGCUUGAGGUUCUGUGUUUUUCGGUGUGUGAAGGAUCAUAGCCAAUCCUUGUUUCUCUGGUCUUGCAUGUCUAACAUCUGGUGUCCUCGAGUUUCGGGGGUCCUUCUACAGCUGUGCUUUCUGGGUAUUGGUUUAAGGAAGCAUCUGUAAGUGGCUUCCAUUUGCGGUGAAUGGUUUUGGCUUCCCCGAUGGUAGUUUAUAUCUCCGGCAGCGUGCUCCAUCAUUUAGCUGGUUCCCUUUUGGGUUGAUUUAGGGUCCCAUGUUUGGGCUGGUUCGAUUUAGAUUGAUAGUUGGCAGAUAGGACCCCUUUUUUCACGUCUUGGUUUGUAUUUCUAUAAGGUUUGGG
RNAcentral lists this unclassified non-coding RNA (708 nucleotides) under Hevea brasiliensis (rubber tree). Lineage: Eukaryota; Viridiplantae; Streptophyta; Magnoliopsida; Malpighiales; Euphorbiaceae. The record is from RNAcentral.